This 3438-nucleotide ribosomal RNA is filed under the name Brassica rapa (field mustard). RNAcentral describes it as "eukaryotic LSU rRNA". It matches the Rfam family "Eukaryotic large subunit ribosomal RNA". Lineage: Eukaryota; Viridiplantae; Streptophyta; Magnoliopsida; Brassicales; Brassicaceae. The record is from RNAcentral.
CGACUUUCGGCAUCCGGAUAUCUCGGCUCGAUAGAUGAAGAACGAGCAAAAUGCGAUACUUGGUGUGAAUUGCAGAAUCCCGUGAACCAUCGAAGUCUUUGAACGCAAGUUGCGCACCAAGCCUUCGCCGAGGGCACGCCUACCUGGGUGUCAAAAUCGCCGCCCCCAUCCUCCUCGAGGAUAUGGGACGGAAGCUGAUCUCCCAUGUGUUACCGCACUCGGUUGGCUAAAAAUACGAAGCAAGGACGCCAGAGCAUCUUGACAUGCGGUGGUGAAUUCAAUUCUCCAUAUAGUCGACGCUCCGUCCAAAAGCUCUUGAUGAGGCAAAGUCCUCAACGCGACCCUAGGUCAGGCAGGAUCACCCGCUGAGUUUAAGCAUAUCAAUAAGCGGAGGAAAAGAAAUUAACAAGGAUUCCCUUAGUAGCGGUGAGCGAACCGGGAAGAGCCCAGCAUGAAAAUCGACAUCUUCGGCGUCGAAUUGUAAGUUCAAGUGUCCUGCGUCAGACCGGGCCCAAGUUCCCGGAAAGGGCUGUUUGAGAGCUGCAGCCCCAAUGUCCACGAGUCGGUUGUUUGAGAAUGCAGCCCCAAUCGGGCGUAAAUUUCGUGGGAUGGGCGAGACCGAACAACAAGUACCGCGAGGUAAAGAUGAAAAGAACUUUGAAAAGAGAGUCAAAGAGUGCUUGAAAUUGUCGGAGGGAAGCGAUGGGGGCGGCGAUUCAUCCCGGUCGGAUGCGGAACGGAGCAAUCCUUGCCAGCCAUCGAUUCGGGCCAUGGACCGACACGGAUUACGGUGGUAACCUAAGCUCGGCUUUUGUUACGCGCGGAGACGCUGCUACCUUUAAUCGGUUCUGGCAAAGACGCUUCACCUAAGUUCCUCGGAUCUGCGUGCUUUCGUAGGCCGGCCUGUGGGCUCCCCAUUCAAUCUGCCUUGAAACACGCACCAAAGAGUCUGACUUUGUGUAAGAGUCAACGGGUGAGUAAACCCGUAAGGCACAAGGGAAGCUGAUUGGUUGAUCCCUCACGGUUGCACAUCCCGACCGACCUUUGAUCUUCCGGAAAAGGUUCGAAAAGUGAGCAUGCCUGUCGACCCAAAGAUGGUGAACUAUGCCUGAGCGGGCGGCCGAGGAAACUCGUGGUGGAGGCUCGCAGCGAUACCGAUGUGCAAAUCGCUCGCCCGACGGUAUAUGGGCAUAAGGGGCGAAGACUAAUCGAACCAUCUAGUAGCUGGUUCCCUCCGGUCUCCCUCAGAUAGCCGGAGCUCGAAACGAAGUUCUAUCGGUAAAGCCAAUUAUUAGAGGCAUCGUGGACGAAUGUCCUCGACCUAUUCUCAAACUUUAAAUAGGUAUGACGGGUGGCUGCUUUGUUGAGCCAUCCCACGGAAUCGAUAGCUCCAAGUGGGCCAUUUUGGUAAGCGUAACUUUAGAUGCGGAUGAACCGGAAGCCAGGUUAUGGUGCCCAACUGCGCGCUAACCUAGAACCCACAAAGGGUGUUGGUCGAUUAAGACAGCAGGACGGUGGUCAUGGAAGUCGAACCGCUAAGGAGGUAAAACAACUCACCCGCCGAAUCAACUAGUCCUCGAAAAUGGAUGGCGCUGAAGCGCUGACCUAUACCCGCCAGCCGGGAAAGAGCCAGGCCUCGAUGAGAAGGAGGGCGGUGGUCGCUGCAAAACCUAGGGCGCUGAGCCCGGCAUGAGCGCCAUCGGUGCAGAUCUUGGUGGUAGUAGCAAAUAUUCAAAAUGAGAACUUUGAAGGCCGAAGAGGGGAAAGUUUCCAUGUGAACAGCACUUUGCACAUGGGUUGGGGUCAUCCUAAGAGUCGGGGAAACCCGCCUGAUAGCUUUUUGGCGAACUUCAAAAGGGGAUCCGGGUUAAAAUUUCAGAACCAGGACGGGAGGUUGAUGGCAAUGUUAGGGAAUCCGGAGACGCCGGGCGGAAUUCGAAAGAGUUAUCUUUUUUCUGUUUAACAGCCUGCCCACCUCGAAACGCUCAACCGGAGGGGGUCCAGUGGCUGGAAGAGCACCGCAGACGCCGCGGUAUGCCGCUUCACGCCGUAUCGCAUCAUAACCGCAUCAGGUCUCCAAGGUGAACAGCCUUCCGGGUCAAUGGAACAAUGUGGCAAGGGAAGUUGGCAAAAUGGAUCCAUAACUUCGACCCGGUUGAAACUAUCAUGGGCUGCUUGAUCCGCUAACGUUGGCGAGCAGCAUCGCCGUGGUCGGCCGGGGACGGACUGGAACGGUUCUUUCGGUUCUUUCCGGCGUCAACAGCCAACUCAGAACUGGUAAUGACAAGGGGAACCGGAAUGUUUAAUUAAAACAAAGCAUUGGCGAUGGUCCUCGCGGAUGCUAACGCAAUGUGAUUUCUGCCCAAGAAGCUUUUGAAUGUGAAAGUGAAGAAAUUCAACCGCGGGUAAACGGCAGGAGUAACUAUGACUCUCUUUAGGUAGCCAAAUGCUUUGUCAUCUAAUUAGUGACGCCGCAUGAAUGGAUUAACGAGAUUCCCCACUGUCCAUGUGUACCAUCCAGCAAAACCACAAAUAAGGGAACGGGCUUGGCAGAAUCAGCCGGGAAAGAAGACCCCAUUGAGCUUGACUCUAACCGAAUUUUGUGAAAUGACUCGAGAUGUGUAGAAUAAGUGGGAGCUCCGCACAAGACUCGCCUGCAGGUCAAUCUGGGCGAGGACAUUGUCAGGUGGGAGUUUGGCUGGGGCAGGACAUCUGAUAAAAAAGAUAACACGUGUGUCCUAAGAUGAGCUCAACGAGAACAGAAAUCUCGUGGGAACAAAAGGGUAAAAGCUCGCUUUGAUUCUGAUUUUCAGUAACGGCAUACAACCGUAAGAGUGUGGCCUAUCGAUCCUUUAAACCUUCAGAAUUUGAAGCUAGAGGUGUCCCAAAAGAUAAACACGGAUAACUGGCUUGUGGGCAGCCAAGAGUUCAUAGCGACGCUGUUUUUUGAUCCUUCGAUGUCGGCUCUUCCUAUCAUUGUGAAGCAGAAUUCACCAAGUGUUGAUUGUUCACCCACCAAUAGGGAACGGGCUGGUUUUAGACCGUCGAGACAGGUUAGUUUUACCCUACUGAUGCCCGCUGUCGCAAUAGUAAUUCAACCUAGUACGGAGGAACCGCUGAUUCGACAAUUGGCCAUCGCGCUAGGUUGAAAGCCGUAUACGGCCGGUUACCAUGCUUGAUUAUGACUGAACGCCUCAAGUCAGAACUGGCAAAGCAACGAUGCCUCCCGAUUGCCGAAUUCAGUAGGAGCUUCGCCCCAAAGGCACGCGGUCGCUAUUAAGGCUGUUCGCGGAAGCUCCGCUCGGACCGCUUUGAAUUAUAAUUACCACCGAGCCAGCGGGUAAUCCCUUUGCGCAUCUAAUUUUAAAUACGCCGACGGGUAUUGAAAGUGGUAGAGGGGGCUUUGCUGCCACGAUCCACUGAGAUUCAGCCCUUUGU